AUAUACACACAUACACACACAUACAUACAUAUAUACAUAUAUACAUAUACAUAUAUAUGUAUAUACCUGCGGGCGCAUUGCGACCAAAAGCGUCGCAGAAUCAUCCGCUGCAGCAGCAGCCAAUGAAGGCGAAACAAAAAAACAACACGGUCCGUUCAUUAUCGAAACUGAAAUGCGAACGCGCGCGCUCUCUCUGCGGCGGGCUGCAGGGGAGCCCAUCAGAGCAGCGGUUGCUUGCGGGAAACUCGGUGGCCUCGACGUCUUUCUCAUCGGCUUGCUUCCUGUAGCGCCGACGACUUGGCGGCGAGGCCUUGCGUCGCGGCAGAGCACCUCGCGUCCGUCUUUCGUCUCCUGCUGCCGCGUCCCUCAGCGGGCCGUCUUUGUCCGCUUCCAGCCAACCCCCAACGACGCGUGUUACAAGUUUUAUGUCGAUGAGAUGCAGUUUCUGCCGCCCAACGCCCACACGAUGGUGUUCAACAGCACAAACAGCUACAUUUCUCCACUUGCCCACACGCUGCUUGAGGCGCUGCCGAUGGUGGAGGAAGUCACCGUGGGUACGUCCUUUGUGACGGUGAAGCGCGUGGAGGAGGCGAAUGCGGCGGCUGCGGCCCGCUACUUUGCCAUGAAGUUAAACAGAGUGCAGCAGAACCACGAGACCGACGAGGAAGCUGCUGCGGCGCGCUCGCAGGCGCUGCAGCAGCGCGUCGCCGACGCUUUAAAAAAGGACGGCGAGACAGCAGCCGAACCCCGUAGUUGCAAUGCAGCUUCUACCGCACCGCCGUUGUCGCCGGCGGAUGCGCCCUUUGACGUCGGCGGGUUCACAGUUUCGCCAUCUUCGCAGGACGAACAAAACGACGAGGCUGCCCUGCAGUCACUGAUCGCCGAGACAGACUGGUCAGAGCUCAAGUUGCACGUAAGCGCCCUGCUCACGGAUCACAUCUGCAGCGGCAACCCGCACGUCGAUCCCAGCGCCCCCCAUCCCCACGCCGACACAGUCCCGGAGGAGGGCGAUUCGGAGGUGGUGCUGAUGAUCAAGGAGCUUGUCUCCACCACGAUCCGACCGCAGCUGCAGGACGAUGGCGGUGACCUCCGCUUCGUCGGUUUUGACCCCGUCUUGGGCGACAUGCACGUCGAGCUGCUUGGGGCGUGCCGCACCUGCAAGAGCAGUAAGACAACGCUCGUGGAUUUGAUCGAGCGCACCACACGGCACUGGAUACCUGAGGUGAGCGCCGUCAAAGACGUCUCGCGGGCCACCUCCGCGUUCGAAGACUUUGCCGCACAUCACAGCAACGCGGCGGCAGCAGGCGCAGCUGGCCUCUCUUCCUCGCCACUUACAGACCGAAUCGCAGGGGAAGUUGAUGACGGUUCGCCGAAUGCAAAAGGCACAGUGCAGUUUUCUCCGUCGCCGACGUCGGUGUCGGCGCGCGCUGCGUCGGGCGCGUACAAGAUGGUGCGCAAAGUGCAGGCGUCCUCUGCUGGAGAAGCCGGAACUGCCUGCUCUGCUGCUGCACCGUCGUGAUGUUCGUCAUGGUGGCGCGCCAUACUACUUGCCCUCUGCUGCGCCUCCCAUCCUUUUGUUUCUCUUUCCUCUUUUGGAUGUGAGUGAUUCACCGAUUCCCUUCUUACUCUUUCGCACUCCCUCAUGAAG
Molecule: unclassified non-coding RNA, 1648 nt
Filed under: Leishmania donovani
Lineage: Eukaryota; Euglenozoa; Kinetoplastea; Trypanosomatida; Trypanosomatidae
Description: gene:LdHU3.33.0840(CDS-product:Scaffold_protein_N fu/NifU_N_inal/NifU-like_domain_containing_protein_putative )
Source: RNAcentral